GGAAUGUCUAGGGUUGCAGGAAUAAUGACGGGAAUGACUUGGUCUUUAAAAUGGGAUUCUGAAGCUCGGAAAUAGGCUCCCCACGGUUGUUAAAAUCGCUGCCGCGGUGGAAGGUCUUCCGGCCGUAGGUGGGAACAUUCUCAGCUUCCGGACUGUGUUGAUUCACCUUCAGUGCAACAAGCAUAUGGAGAUCUAACCGUUGGAUUGCUUUGAUUCCAAGUGCAUUGGAAAGCUGAUUUAC
Molecule: long non-coding RNA, 241 nt
Filed under: Eutrema salsugineum
Lineage: Eukaryota; Viridiplantae; Streptophyta; Magnoliopsida; Brassicales; Brassicaceae
Description: long non-coding RNA (ESAL_LNC001503)
Source: RNAcentral